RNAcentral lists this long non-coding RNA (1056 nucleotides) under Meleagris gallopavo (turkey). RNAcentral describes it as "lncRNA (ENSMGAG00000019189.1)". The record is from RNAcentral. Lineage: Eukaryota; Metazoa; Chordata; Aves; Galliformes; Phasianidae.
UGUAUAUAAAACAUGAUUAUAUAUAAAAAACCCAACACAUAAUGGCAUAAAGUUACUUUCUAAAGAAAUUAAAUGACUGAACAAUUGUAUGAAACCAGGUUUAUAGAGCUUACUUUAAGAAACUUAAAACCGGUUUCCUGAGAUUUGCUGCUCUCUACAGGCUACUUCUAUUAUCGUCCUAAAAGAGGUGUUUUAUGAUUGGGAAAGUUGCUGCUGCCAUAGUAAUACUAUUAGAGCAAAGACUUACUAUUGUUAUUUCGGUAUUAACAACACCAAUAAAAAAAAAAAAUAAAACACUGUCUAUGACAAUCAUUUUCACUUGUUUGCUGAACCAAACAUGUUUAUAUCAAUGACAAUAUACUUAUUUUACUAUCAAAUAGCAGCUUUAAUACCAGUCAAGUCAUAGAUUUAAAAACAAAACCAAAAACUUACGCUGGAAAUUAAUCUUUGGGACGUUUGUAAUCGCUGGAAAAAAUGCAAACGUUUUCAUGUCCAUAAAAAAACCUCCUCGUAGCAAUUGUGUUGGUCAUCAAACACUGACCUACGUGGAAAAUGAACGAACCCACAAAAGUCACUAAAAAUAAAUGUAUACCAAAAUAAUUUCAGUUGGAAUCACGGUUAUUUUGCUUUUUUUGCCAUGUUAACACAUACUGUAUGCUUCAAGUACCAGUUCAAAGAUGUCGUGUACUAUUGGUCAGAUAAGGUUGUUACAUCGAGAGAAUUCACCACUUACGACAACAAAAAUGCUUGCCCCUAGCACAUUUCACAGCUUCAACUGCUACAGACUGUCACUGAACAAAAAUGCAUCGGUCAGUCUGAACCAUGUCAAGUAAACUAUGGAAGUAGCAUAUCCACAACACAAACUGUGCUAGCACUUUCUUUUCAAGUCUAACCCAAAAACAGGUACAAUUUGGGAGCCACUGCUCCAUUCUGUGAAAGGUGGUGGAACUUGGCGAUCAGACGUGUUGAAGGUGUGGUUGUACAGUACAUUCUUGUGGCCCAGGCCAGGUUCCAGGCAGGCAGCUGCGCAGUCCUGCAGCAUUAGCAACAGUGCAC